ACAUCCUACAUACUUCGUCGUGCAUUUAACAAAGCGGCCAAAUAGUACUGCUUGACCUUUUACACACAUAAUUUGGCGACAGGAGCACCUCCAAGGAGGACGUAUGUCGCGUAAGGCAACAUCUCCCUGACAGCUUGAAAAACACUGAUGCCUCCACGAAUUUCAGUGCUGCUGGUAACAACUUUGGAUGUUUGCCUUACGUUUAUAAGCCCUCUUUUCCCGUUUCCCCGACGUCCUUCUAUUUUCUUUGCUAUUUCCCGUAGGAAGACGUACACAUUUGUAGAUUCGUAGAAGUUUACCGGCGGCCCAGUACUGUUUGUGUGUGCAUCGUUUUGCCAAAGAAAACUGAAAAGAUACAUAAGACGCCACUUCGAUCGACAGGAGUUGGGGCUGCGACGACCUUGACCACAUCGUAACGGUCAUUAUAUCUCGCGUAAUGUAUCAAGUCGAACACUAAUAUUAAAUUUCGGAUUGUAUGUGCCUCAAGGGACAAAUGGUCAAAGAUUAAAUAGCAUCAGCAGUGUAAAAGACAAUAUUAAUGUAAGAGAAGGGGACGAACAGAAUUCGAAAAGAAGAAGAGGAAUAAAUUUAGCUAUUGACUAAUCGGAAAUACGUCAUUCGUUAAAUGACUGUCAGCCACAAAGUUUGAAGA
Long non-coding RNA from Varroa destructor (honeybee mite), 652 nucleotides. RefSeq lists it as uncharacterized. NCBI's taxonomy places the organism in Eukaryota, Metazoa, Arthropoda, Arachnida, Mesostigmata, Varroidae. The record is from RefSeq and is a predicted model, not a curated record.